RNAcentral lists this ribosomal RNA (986 nucleotides) under uncultured cyanobacterium. RNAcentral describes it as "bacterial SSU rRNA". It matches the Rfam family "Bacterial small subunit ribosomal RNA", at positions 471 to 1456 of the family's 1533-position model. Lineage: Bacteria; Bacillati; Cyanobacteriota. The record is from RNAcentral.
GACGGUACUUGAUGAAUAAGCCACGGCUAAUUCCGUGCCAGCAGCCGCGGUAAUACGGGAGUGGCAAGCGUUAUCCGGAAUUAUUGGGCGUAAAGCGUCCGCAGGCGGCCUUGUAAGUCUGUCGUCAAAGCGUGGAGCUUAACUCCAUUUAAGCGAUGGAAACUGCAAGGCUAGAGUGUGGUAGGGGCAGAGGGAAUUCCCGGUGUAGCGGUGAAAUGCGUAGAUAUCGGGAAGAACACCAGUGGCGAAGGCGCUCUGCUGGGCCAUAACUGACGCUCAUGGACGAAAGCCAGGGGAGCGAAAGGGAUUAGAUACCCCUGUAGUCCUGGCCGUAAACGAUGAACACUAGGUGUCGGGGGAAUCGACCCCCUCGGUGUCGUAGCCAACGCGUUAAGUGUUCCGCCUGGGGAGUACGCACGCAAGUGUGAAACUCAAAGGAAUUGACGGGGGCCCGCACAAGCGGUGGAGUAUGUGGUUUAAUUCGAUGCAACGCGAAGAACCUUACCAGGGUUUGACAUCCUGCGAAUCCUUUGGAAACGAGGGAGUGCCUUCGGGAACGCAGAGACAGGUGGUGCAUGGCUGUCGUCAGCUCGUGUCGUGAGAUGUUGGGUUAAGUCCCGCAACGAGCGCAACCCACGUCGUUAGUUGCCAGCAUUUAGUUGGGCACUCUAGCGAGACCGCCGGUGAUAAACCGGAGGAAGGUGUGGAUGACGUCAAGUCAUCAUGCCCCUUACAUCCUGGGCUACACACGUACUACAAUGCUACGGACAAAGGGCAGCAAACUCGCGAGAGCUAGCAAAUCCCAUAAACCGUGGCUCAGUUCAGAUCGUAGGCUGCAACUCGCCUACGUGAAGGAGGAAUCGCUAGUAAUCGCAGGUCAGCAUACCGCGGUGAAUACGUUCCCGGGCCUUGUACACACCGCCCGUCACACCAUGGAAGUUGGCCACGCCCGAAGCCGUUACUCCAACCCUUGUGGAGGAGGACGU